AGCUGCAAAAUCUAUAAUUCAAACUAUAAUAUUGAAAUAGUUCUUUCUAAUUUUUAUCACUGAGAAAAAAAUAUAUUUUUAUGUAUCACAUAAAAAAUAUUAUAUAUCACAUUAUUCACUUAAAAAUUUUGUUCAGUAUUAUAAUAACUUUUGUUCAAAUAUGUAUAUAUUAAUCUAUUAUAAUACACAUAUGAUAAGAAAUGUACAUAAGUAAUAAUAUUUUGGGCCUUUCAGUUAAUUAGCAUUUGUCAACAAUACAUUUGCUAGUUGGAAACAAACGAGAAAUCAUUUAUUUAUUCGUUCUCGAGUUUAUAAUCAUAGUUCAUGAUCGCAGUAAUAUUUCCAUUUAAAAAUAAUUUUUUAAAAAUUUUUCUUCAUUGUUCUUUCAAACAAUAAUCUUUCAAGCAUCUUCAGUGAUUAGAAAUAAAAAUUAGUCUUAAGAAAAUUUACAAUAAUUUAAUUUCGUUAACAAUAUGGAUAAUAUGAAUUCAAAGAAUAUAAUCGAUUUAGCUGAUUUUAUGAUAGAAGAAUUCGAUGUUGCGUGGGUAGCAUUAUUUAAACAAAAGUAUAAUCAACUCGAUUAUUAUACAAUAAAACUAUAUGUGGAAAAUCUAAAAGAGCAACGAAAUUUGAUCAUCUCAGCUAGCGCAUUCAAUUCGGAAGAUUAUCCAGAUCUUCAGAAAAAAAGAAAGCGUUUUAUGCAAAAAUAUAUUCCUCUUAUAGCUGCAGCGGAAAUCUAUUUAAUGAAAUACAAAAUGUUCGACACAGAGGAAGCGAUUACUAAUUAAAUAAAUAAAAUUGAUAUUGAAAAUCUAUUAUGUAACUAAAUUAAUAUAUAUGAAAUAUUGUAUUAUUAAUACAAACGAAAUUACACCAAAAAGAAUAAAAAUAUAAGGGUAAAAUACAAGAA
Molecule: long non-coding RNA, 910 nt
Organism: Apis cerana (Asiatic honeybee)
Lineage: Eukaryota; Metazoa; Arthropoda; Insecta; Hymenoptera; Apidae
Source: RefSeq, a predicted model, not a curated record